Capra hircus (goat) is the source of this 107-nucleotide ribosomal RNA. The record is from Ensembl. NCBI's taxonomy places the organism in Eukaryota, Metazoa, Chordata, Mammalia, Artiodactyla, Bovidae.
GUCUACGGCCAUACCACCCUGAACACGCCUGAUCUUGUCUGAUCUCAGAAGUCAAGCAGGGUCGGGCCUGGUUAGUACUUGGAUGGAAGAAUUACUUAGUGCAGACU